This 345-nucleotide ribosomal RNA is filed under the name Triticum aestivum (bread wheat). RNAcentral's name for it is "partial small subunit ribosomal RNA". Lineage: Eukaryota; Viridiplantae; Streptophyta; Magnoliopsida; Poales; Poaceae. The record is from RNAcentral.
AUGGCUGGUGAAGGCAUCUCGAUAGAUGAAUUUAUGGAGUACGACUCGAUAGUCAGGCAGACAUUUAAAAGUGAGAACGAAGCGUACAAGUUCUACUUAGGGUAUGCGAAGAGCAAAGGGUUUGGUGUUAGAAAGGGCGAUCUGAAAUAUAAGGGAAACAUGGAAAAUUCAUACCGGAGGACGUUUGUGUGCUGCAAACAAGGAUAUUGUGACGUAAAGCACUUUGAUCAAACCGACAAGAAAAGGACGCCAAGGGCACUCUCUUGGUGUGGUUGUCCUGCUCUUUUGCAGGUUGAGCUUCGAGCAAGCACUGGGUUGUGGUUUGUAAAGAAUUUUGUUGACUAA